AUUUAUCAUUAUUUUCCGUUAUUUUUAAGGAGUUUUUUUAUGUCUUUACAAAGUUAAAAAAAAAAACUUGAGAUUAAUCCUUAGAAAAUCCAAAUCUCACUGUUCACAUCCCCUUCUUUCGAAUUAGAUGGCGUCGCACUGCAACUUUGUGAGACUUCACAUUAGGUACACUUUAGGCAAUUAACUCAUUGAAGACACCGUGUGAGAGGUGCUGAGAGAGAAAUAAAGCCGAGCAAACUGUGAAACCGAAUGUCAUGCCGUUAUUUGCCUUUACAACUCUCAAAAGAGCCAAAGUUUUUCCGGGCUUUUUUUUCCCAACGUCGUCAGAAAAGGAAGAAACCGUCAUCGCAACCCAACGUGAACAUUCUCGUGACUUAGGCAGGCGAUCAAUGACUUUUCAGGAUCGAAUGUAAUAGUUUAUCCGGUGAAUCGACCGGGACGUAUUUUGCACAUAUUUUUCUGCGCUCUAUUAGGACACGUCCAAGUAAAAGAUGUUUGAUUCGA
Molecule: long non-coding RNA, 504 nt
Organism: Daphnia magna
Lineage: Eukaryota; Metazoa; Arthropoda; Branchiopoda; Diplostraca; Daphniidae
Exons: 3
Source: RefSeq, a predicted model, not a curated record